RNAcentral lists this unclassified non-coding RNA (200 nucleotides) under Sebacina sp. RNAcentral's name for it is "partial internal transcribed spacer 2". Lineage: Eukaryota; Fungi; Basidiomycota; Agaricomycetes; Sebacinales; Sebacinaceae. The record is from RNAcentral.
UUAAGUUCAGCGGGUAGUCCUACUCGAUUUGAGGUCAAGUUGUCAGAGAGUGUCCGAAGACGGUUCGAAGCACAGAGCUCCCGAUCGGCCACCCUCGAGUGAGGCGCCGGCGAAGAUACUUAUCACGCCGUACUAUGUCCAACCAAGAGUUGCACUAAGCCAUUUGAGGUAAGCCACGGUAAAGCAGCAAACCCAAGUCC